RNAcentral lists this non-coding RNA (101 nucleotides) under Saccharopolyspora rectivirgula. RNAcentral's name for it is "Glycine sequence". It matches the Rfam family "Glycine riboswitch aptamer". From Rfam's summary of the family: This family represents the bacterial glycine riboswitch. Glycine riboswitches usually consist of two metabolite-binding aptamers domains with similar structures in tandem. The aptamers cooperatively bind glycine to regulate the expression of downstream genes. Lineage: Bacteria; Bacillati; Actinomycetota; Actinomycetes; Pseudonocardiales; Pseudonocardiaceae. The record is from Rfam by way of RNAcentral.
UGACCCCGUGCGGGAGAGUUCGGUCACGGUGCUGCCGUGGCCGGCGCCGAAGGAGCAACCCUCCCCGACAACCUCUCAGGCCACCGGACCGUACGGGCGAG